Molecule: ribosomal RNA, 253 nt
Filed under: uncultured bacterium
Lineage: Bacteria
Description: partial 16S ribosomal RNA
Rfam family: Bacterial small subunit ribosomal RNA
Source: RNAcentral
UACAGAGGUCUCAAGCGUUGUUCGGAUUCAUUGGGCGUAAAGGGCGCGUAGGCGGCGAGGUAAGUCGGGUGUGAAAUCUCAGAGCUCAACUCUGAAACUGCACUCGAUACUGCUUUGCUAGAGGACUGGAGAGGAGAUUGGAAUUCACGGUGUAGCAGUGAAAUGCGUAGAGAUCGUGAGGAAGACCAGUGGCGAAGGCGGAUCUCUGGACAGUUCCUGACGCUGAGGCGCGAAGGCCAGGGGGGCAAACAGG